UGCCCCGGUAUCGCGAGGCCCGCCUCCGGCCCGAGCGCGGCCUGGUCCUGCAUCGCGACCUCGUACUCACCCUCGACGACGACAUCGGCUUUCGCGUCCGGGUCGCCGUGCACGACACGGACGUCCUCGAUGACAUUGCCGUCCUUCGCGUCGUGGAGCUUCGGGGCAUCCGGCUGUAGCGCGGCCACGACGUCGGUGACCGCGGGCAGCAGCUCGUACUCGACCUUGAUCGCCUUCGUCGCGAGACGCGCCUGCUCGGGAUCGUCCGCGGCGACGAUCGCCACCGCUUCGCCGACAUAGCGCACGACGUUCGUCGCGAGCACCGGCUGGUCCGCGCGCAUCAGGCCGAACUUCUCCGUCGUGGGAAGGUCGUCCGACGUGAUCACCGCGCGCACG
RNAcentral lists this unclassified non-coding RNA (396 nucleotides) under uncultured bacterium. RNAcentral describes it as "contains 16S-23S intergenic spacer region". The record is from RNAcentral.